RNAcentral lists this ribosomal RNA (242 nucleotides) under uncultured bacterium. RNAcentral describes it as "partial 16S ribosomal RNA". It matches the Rfam family "Bacterial small subunit ribosomal RNA", at positions 29 to 302 of the family's 1533-position model. The record is from RNAcentral.
AUGAACGCUGGCGGCGUGCCUAAGACAUGCAAGUCGAGUGGGUUUAGACCCACGGCGAACGGGUGAGUAAUACCUAGGAACUUUUCUUUAGUGGAGCAUAUCCUACCGAAAGGUAGAGCAAUUCUCCAUGUGACCGCAAGGUUAAAGUCGCAAGACGCUAAAGGUGAGGCCUGGGCACCAUCAGCUAGUUGGUAAGGUAAUGGCUUACCAAGGCUAUGACGGUUAGGGGCCCCGAGAGGGGA